Molecule: ribosomal RNA, 889 nt
Filed under: bacterium enrichment culture clone F8 1.705-A25
Lineage: Bacteria
Description: bacterial SSU rRNA
Rfam family: Archaeal small subunit ribosomal RNA
Source: RNAcentral
UUCCGGUUGAUCCCGCCGGAGGUCACUGCUAUCGGGGUUCGAUUAAGCCAUGCGAGUCGAGAGGGUUCGGCCCUCGGCGUACUGCUCAGUAACACGUGGAUAACCUGCCCUAAGGAAGGGGAUACCCCCGGGAAACUGGGGAUAAUACCCUAUAGGUUACAGAUGCUGGAAUGCUCUGUACCCGAAAGUUCCGGCGCCUUAGGAUGGAUCUGCGGCCGAUUAGGUUGUUGUCGGGGUAACGGCCCAACAAGCCAGUAAUCGGUACGGGUUGUGGGAGCAAGAGCCCGGAGUUGGAUUCUGAGACACGAAUCCAGGCCCUACGGGGCGCAGCAGGCGCGAAAACUUUACAAUGCGGGCAACCGUGAUAAGGGAACCUCGAGUGCCUGUAUAUGCAGGCUGUCUGGGUGUCUAAAACACACCUAAAGAAAGGGCCGGGCAAGACCGGUGCCAGCCGCCGCGGUAAUACCGGCGGCUCGAGUGGUGGCCACUUUUAUUGGGCUUAAAGCGUUCGUAGCUGGGUUAUUAAGUCCCUUGGGAAAUCCGACGGCUUAACCGUCGGGCGUCUAAGGGAUACUGGCAAUCUUGGAACCGGGAGAGGUGAGGGGUACUUCGGGGGUAGGAGUGAAAUCCUGUAAUCCUCGAGGGACCACCUGUGGCGAAGGCGCCUCACCAGAACGGCUUCGACAGUGAGGGACGAAAGCUGGGGGAGCAAACCGGAUUAGAUACCCGGGUAGUCCCAGCCGUAAACGAUGUGCGUUAGGUGUAUCGGUGACCACGAGUCACCGAGGUGCCGAAGGGAAACCGUGAAACGUACCGCCUGGGAAGUACGGUCGCAAGGCUGAAACUUAAAGGAAUUGGCGGGGGAGCACCACAACAGGUGGAGCCUGCG